GGUUGAUCCUGCCGGACCCGACUGCUAUCGGAUUGGGACUAAGCCAUGCGAGUCAACUCCGCAAGGGGUGGCGCACGGCUCAGUAACACGUAGUCAACCUACCCUGGGGACGGGGAUAACCUCGGGAAACUGAGGCUAAACCCCGAUGGGCCAUGGCUCCUGGAAUGGGCUAUGGCUGAAAUCUACAUGGCCCCAGGAUGGGACUGCGGCCGAUCAGGUUGUUGGUGGGGUAAUGGCCCACCAAGCCUAUAACCGGUGCGGGCUCUGAGAGGAGGAGCCCGGAGAUGGGCACUGAGACAAGGGCCCAGGUCCUAUGGGGCGCAGCAGGCGCGAAACCUCCGCAAUGGGCGAAAGCCCGACGGGGUCAGUCCGAGUGGUUCCCGCUGAGGGAACCUUUUG
Molecule: ribosomal RNA, 399 nt
Filed under: uncultured bacterium
Lineage: Bacteria
Description: bacterial SSU rRNA
Rfam family: Archaeal small subunit ribosomal RNA
Source: RNAcentral